CCCCCUACGGGAGGCAGCCGUGAGGAAUCUUGUUCAAUUGGCUGGAUCCUGAACCAGCCAAGCCGCGUGAAGGAAGAAGGCGCCAGGCGUCGUAAACUUCUUUUGUCGGGGAACAAAGGGGGCCACGCGUGGCGUUGUGAGUGUACCCGAAGAAAAAGCAUCGGCUAACUCCGUGCCAGCAGCCGCGGUAAUACGGAGGAUGCGAGCGUUAUCCGGAUUUAUUGGGUUUAAAGGGUGCGUAGGCGGUCCGGAAAGUCAGCGGUAAAAGCCCGGGGCUCAACCCCGGCGAGCCGUUGAAACUGUCG
This 305-nucleotide ribosomal RNA is filed under the name uncultured bacterium. RNAcentral's name for it is "bacterial SSU rRNA". It matches the Rfam family "Bacterial small subunit ribosomal RNA", at positions 335 to 638 of the family's 1533-position model. The record is from RNAcentral.